AUUUGCAUGACAUUGGUUAUUUUAUUCAUGAGGUAUUGUAUUUUAUCAUUUAUUGUAUCAUAUUUUUAUGAUUAUGAUAAACCUCAUAAAUUAGAGCAAUGAUUUUAGGAUCAUGAUGAGAUCAUGCCAGUGAGAUCUAAAACUUGAUAGCCCCAAUCUAAAAUAUUUUCAAUCAUUGGAUCAUCGAGUUGGAGAUCGAUGAUG
RNAcentral lists this long non-coding RNA (204 nucleotides) under Elaeis guineensis (African oil palm). Its description in RNAcentral is "long non-coding RNA (EGUI_LNC039507)". Lineage: Eukaryota; Viridiplantae; Streptophyta; Magnoliopsida; Arecales; Arecaceae. The record is from RNAcentral.